GUUGAACGCUGGCGGCGUGCCUAAUACAUGCAAGUCGAGCGAACAGACGAGGAGCUUGCUCCUCUGACGUUAGCGGCAGACGGGUGAGUAACACGUGGAUAACCUACCUAUAAGACUGGGAUAACUUCGGGAAACCGGAGCUAAUACCGGAUAAUAUAUUGAACCGCAUGGUUCAAUAGUGAAAGACGGUUUUGCUGUCACUUAUAGAUGGAUCCGCGCCGCAUUAGCUAGUUGGUAAGGUAACGGCUUACCAAGGCGACGAUGCGUAGCCGACCUGAGAGGGUGAUCGGCCACACUGGAACUGAGACACGGUCCAGACUCCUACGGGAGGCAGCAGUAGGGAAUCUUCCGCAAUGGGCGAAAGCCUGACGGAGCAACGCCGCGUGAGUGAUGAAGGUCUUCGGAUCGUAAAACUCUGUUAUUAGGGAAGAACAAAUGUGUAAGUAACUAUGCACGUCUUGACGGUACCUAAUCAGAAAGCCACGGCUAACUACGUG
This 497-nucleotide ribosomal RNA is filed under the name uncultured bacterium. RNAcentral describes it as "partial 16S ribosomal RNA". It matches the Rfam family "Bacterial small subunit ribosomal RNA", at positions 28 to 507 of the family's 1533-position model. The record is from RNAcentral.